GACGGGGCCCGCACAAGCGGUGAGUAUGUGGUUUAAUUCGAUGCAACGCGAGAACCUUACCUACCCUUGACAUGUCCGGAACUUGCCAGAGAUGGCUUGGUGCCCGAAAGGGAAUCGGAACACAGGUGCUGCAUGGCUGUCGUCAGCUCGUGUCGUGAGAUGUUGGGUUAAGUCCCGCAACGAGCGCAACCCUUGUCUUUAGUUGCCAUCAUUCAGUUGGGCACUCUAAAGAGACUGCCGGUGUCAAACCGGAGGAAGGUGGGGAUGACGUCAAGUCCUCAUGGCCUUUAUGACCAGGGCUACACACGUACUACAAUGGCCGGUACAAAGGGCAGCCACUUAGCGAUAAGGAGCCAAUCCCGUAAAGCCGGUCUCAGUCCGGAUUGGAGUCUGCAACUCGACUCCAUGAAGUUGGAAUCGCUAGUAAUCGCAGAUCAGCACGCUGCGGUGAAUACGUUCCCGGGCCUU
Molecule: ribosomal RNA, 468 nt
Filed under: uncultured Desulfocapsa sp.
Lineage: Bacteria; Pseudomonadati; Thermodesulfobacteriota; Desulfobulbia; Desulfobulbales; Desulfocapsaceae
Description: bacterial SSU rRNA
Rfam family: Bacterial small subunit ribosomal RNA
Source: RNAcentral